UACGAAGGGGGCUAGCGUUGCUCGGAAUCACUGGGCGUAAAGGGUGCGUAGGCGGGUUCUUAAGUCAGGGGUGAAAUCCUGGAGCUCAACUCCAGAACUGCCUUUGAUACUGAAGAUCUUGAGUUCGGGAGAGGUGAGUGGAACUGCGAGUGUAGAGGUGAAAUUCGUAGAUAUUCGCAAGAACACCAGUGGCGAAGGCGGCUCACUGGCCCGAUACUGACGCUGAGGCACGAAAGCGUGGGGAGCAAACAGG
This 253-nucleotide ribosomal RNA is filed under the name uncultured bacterium. RNAcentral describes it as "partial 16S ribosomal RNA". It matches the Rfam family "Bacterial small subunit ribosomal RNA", at positions 524 to 776 of the family's 1533-position model. The record is from RNAcentral.